GAGCCAAAGCAAAACAAGCAGCUGAGGCCGGGAAGCAGGAGGGAGCCGUGUGGGCAGGAAUAGCAGCGGCCCCACACGAGCAGCCGCACGCUGGGAGCUGUAGGGCAGCGUGGGCCCUGUUCCUGCCGCUGGCCCCACUGCUGUGCCCAGGGCACACAGCUCCAGGAUGUGGCGCUGAAGGGUUCCUGUGCUAGCACGAGCCUUUUGUUGGUCGUGGUUCAAAGGCUUUGGACUUCAUGUUUCAUUCUUCCGUGUUCUGACAUGACAAAGGACUAUUUUAAUAGCUGGGUAUUAAAUCUAUUCAGGGGCAGAAAAUGAAGGACUGCGUUAGCCUGCAGCACUCGGGAGCUGCGUGUUAGCAGCAGCCCGUUCUGCUGGUGUGCAGCAGGAGCCUCAGCCUCACCGGGGUCAGCGUGCAGCAUUCCCCUCCCCAGCAGCGUUCCCCGUUGGGCGUGCAGCAGUGCCCUCCUGCCUCCAUCGCUCCCUGCUGCUGCGCCCAGGGACACCCGGAGACCCCUGACUUAGGACACUUCCACCUUUUACUCUGAAGCCAACGUCAGUGCAGCUCUCCAGCUCCUGGCAAGUGGGCACCUCGUGCCGGGCUGUGAGGAACGGGCUGACGACACCGAGCAGAGUCACAUUUCUGCAGCACUUCCCCUGCCCGCAGCACAGCUCUGCGCCCCAGCUGACCGGGGCGGCGGUGCAGGGCAGCGGGAGCAACCCGGUGCUGAAAGCUGACAGCUCAGACUUCAGGUCUGGCCACGGAGAGGAACGAGGCUCAUCAAAUUGAGCCUGGGAAAGCUUCCAAAACCUUGUCUUCACGAGGCAACAGUGCGCAGGUUUGCAUAAAUAUCUAUGAAAUUCAUCAAACAGCCCAAAUGAAAUACACUAAGGAAGGAACUUCUGCUGCAUUUAAAUCCGCUCACAGUCGCUUCCCUGUCUUUGAAAUCCAGCGAUGCCCGCCCCCCACCAGCCUGGGAGCAAGAGUCCUGUUCUCAGGAAAGAAAGCUCCCAUUUUCCAGGAGCAGGUCUGGAAGUCGUCUCGUUUGUGCCCUGGGUGCGUGCCUGGCACUGGGAGCUCGGCGCUGGAGCAGAGCCCGAUCCAUGAGCAUUCAGCUGCAGAAGAAAGAGGGAAAUCUCCACAGGAGCAUGAGACAGAGCACAUAAAAGCAGAGCGGGUGAACAGGAAAGCAUUGUCUUUUAAUUGA
Molecule: long non-coding RNA, 1208 nt
Filed under: Numida meleagris (helmeted guineafowl)
Lineage: Eukaryota; Metazoa; Chordata; Aves; Galliformes; Numididae
Description: lncRNA (ENSNMEG00000005048.1)
Source: RNAcentral